UGGCUCAGUUGGUAGAGCAUGCGACUCUUGAUUGCAGGGUCGAGAGUUCAAGCCCUC
RNAcentral lists this transfer RNA (57 nucleotides) under Felis catus (domestic cat). It matches the Rfam family "tRNA", at positions 8 to 63 of the family's 71-position model. From Rfam's summary of the family: Transfer RNA (tRNA) molecules are approximately 80 nucleotides in length. Their secondary structure includes four short double-helical elements and three loops (D, anti-codon, and T loops). RNAcentral also lists the same sequence under 3 other names. Lineage: Eukaryota; Metazoa; Chordata; Mammalia; Carnivora; Felidae. The record is from Rfam by way of RNAcentral.